UAGGAUAGAGGCCUACCAUGGUUUUAACGGGUAACGGGGAAUUAGGGUUCGAUUCCGGAGAGGGAGCCUGAGAAACGGCUACCACAUCCAAGGAAGGCAGCAGGCGCGCAAAUUACCCAAUCCCGACACGGGGAGGUAGUGACAAUAAAUAACAAUACGGGGCUCAUUUGGGCCUCGUAAUUGGAAUGAGUACAAUUUAAAUCUCUUAACGAGGAACAAUUGGAGGGCAAGUCUGGUGCCAGCAGCCGCGGUAAUUCCAGCUCCAAUAGCGUAUAUUAAAGUUGUUGCAGUUAAAAAGCUCGUAGUUGAACUUCGGGGUUUACCCAUUGGUCAGGCUUAAUUGUCUGUACUGGUGAGAUAAAUCUCUACCUUCUGAGGAACUUUCAUGUCAUUAAUUUGGUGUGAUUGGAAAUCAGGACUGUUACUUUGAAAAAAUUAGAGUGUUUAAAGCAGGCUAACGUCUGAAUACAUUAGCAUGGAAUAAUGAAAUAGGACGGAUUGAUUCUAUUUCGUUGGUUUCUAGGAUCACCGUAAUGAUUAAUAGGGAUAGUUGGGGGCAUUAGUAUUCAAUUGUCAGAGGUGAAAUUCUUGGAUUUAUUGAAGACUAACUACUGCGAAAGCAUUUGCCAAGGAUGUUUUCAUUAAUCAAGAACGAAAGUUAGGGGAUCGAAGACGAUCAGAUACCGUCGUAGUCUUAACCAUAAACUAUGCCGACUAGGGAUCGGACGAA
This 730-nucleotide ribosomal RNA is filed under the name uncultured fungus. Its description in RNAcentral is "SSU rRNA". It matches the Rfam family "Eukaryotic small subunit ribosomal RNA", at positions 329 to 1061 of the family's 1831-position model. Lineage: Eukaryota; Fungi. The record is from RNAcentral.